Molecule: non-coding RNA, 9979 nt
Organism: Podarcis lilfordi (Lilford's wall lizard)
Lineage: Eukaryota; Metazoa; Chordata; Lepidosauria; Squamata; Lacertidae
Source: the annotation of a GenBank genome assembly
GAGGCAUCAUCUUCAUUGCUUUGAGCCUCACAAUGGUGAGUGGACCUAUCAGUGAUUGUGUGCUUGUUUAUUCAGGAUGUGGGUGGCACUGUGGUCUAAACCACUGAGCCUCUUGGGCUUGCCAAUCAGAAGGUCAGCAAUUUGAAUCCCUUGACAAGGUGAGCUCCCAUUGCUCUGUCCCAGCUUCUGCCAACCUAGCAGUUCGAAAGCAUGCCAGUGCAAGUAGAUAAACAGGUACUGCUACUGUGGGAAGGUAAACAGUGUUUCUGUGCACUUUGGCUUAUGUCAGGGCCUGCGUCUGUUGUGCCAGAAGCAAUUUAGUCAUGCUGGCCACAUGACCCAGAAGGCUGUCUGUGGGCAAAUGCUGGCCCCUUCGGCCUGAAAAUGAGAUGAGUGCUGCAACCCCAUAGUCACCUUUGACUGGACUUAACCAUCCUGUGGUCCUUUACUUUACUUUUACUUACUUCUCAUAUCACUGCCACAUACCUCUGAGGCCCAAGUCUCAUAGUAAAAUGUGUAUUGUUUAACUAUAGCUAAUGAAAUACCUUUGUGCGCCAGCAGUGUCAAAAAGCAAUAUGGCUGAAAUGCAAUAGAAACACGGAUUGCGAGCCUCAUUGGUGUGUGUCAAAUAUGGCCCUCUAGGACCUGCAUCCAACUCGUACUUUCCCCAGGGCACACCCCAUCCCUAAACUAUGUGAUUCAGUGGCCCUAUUCUAUGCCCUCAUUGAGUGCUUUGGCCUGGCUGGAUCAUGUCCUUGGACUGUGUCAUUGCUUAAUAAUAGAGCCACCCUCUCACCUUUGUUUUUUUGAACAGCCAAGGUCACGGAGCCAUUUGGAAUGUAGGGCGUCCCUGGCUACAUUCAAAAGGCAGUUUAUUCUCUUUUCAUGCCUUUCCCCUAACUGAACUGUUAGGUUCUGCGCUACAGUUGAGCUUUCAAGCCAUUUCUGGAAUUAUGGUGAAAUUAUAGUGCAAAUUGAGUGCUUAUUUCUGUGUUGUUAACUUGCGGGGGGGGGGGAGUUUGUUUGUUUGUUUGUUUAUACCCCACCCAUCUGGCUGGGAUUCCCCAGCCACUCCAAAUAACAUGGAAAUGAGUGCUAAGCUUGCAUUAUAUUCCACUAUAGUACCAGAAGUGACUUUUACAUCAUAUGGACUCUCACCUACUGUAUAUCUCUAAUUAACAGUUCUGGAAAAGACACAAAAAUGGAAUAAACUGCCUUGUGACGUCAGCCCCUGACCCACCUCAAGAUGCUUUUGUUAAUGGUGUGAUCCACAUCAGAAAUCUCAGUAACUUCCCUUAAUCACCUCAGAAUUUGGGCUACACACAGAGCCUUUCCACACAGUGACUUUUACUUUCAAAAGUCACACCUUUUGCUCCAUACCCUCCAACAUUUUUCUGAUGAAAAUAGGGAUGUCCUAUCCCAUUAUUUAUACCCCGUCCAUCUUACUGGCUUGCCCCAGCCACUCUGGGUGGCUUCCAACAUAUAUACCAUAAUAAAGCAUUAAAUGUUUCUUUUUUUAAACUUCCCUGUAGAGGGUUGCCUUCAGAUGUCUUCUAAAGGCUGCAUAGUUACUUAUCUACUUGGCUCAGAGGUCACGUGACUCCAUAACCUCCAACUUUUCUCCAGUGAAAAUAGGGACUUCCUACCCAGACUUUUUUUUCAGCCAGAACUCACCAGAGCUCAGUUCCGGAACCUCUCAAGUGGGCGCCAUUGGCAUUUUAAGAGGCACCUCUUUUUCUAGAAAAAGAGCACUGCAUGCUACUCCGAUAUACUCUGUCAAAUAAAUACUCAGUCCUCCAUUUCUCCAUGUUACCCUGUGUCAAAGAGUAAGUGGAACUGCUCACGUAUCACAAGAGAUGGUGUCUGAACUGUCCAAAACUUUUGUUUUGUUCAGCUACAGGAUUGGCAGUCCAGGUGCAGGGGACCUCGAAAACAAGCACAAAGUGUCAUUUUCUUUCCUGAUUGCUUUAGACUGUCAUAUAUAUAAAAAGUGGAUGAAAUACCUUGGCUAGCAUUGGAAGGAGAAGCAGAGAGUGAAAGGAGACAGUGUAAACAAUGAAAGAAGCAAAACGUUUUGUGAGAGCAAGCCGUUUAUCCCCUAGAAAGAAUCCGUUAUCUAUGGUCAGUAGGAAAGAAAAAAGCAACUUUGAUUUCUUGGUUUAUAAAGAAUACUAGAAAGAUUACAAACUUGAUCCAAGACCUUGAGCUAGGAAAGAAGUUUCAUUUAUUCUUCCUUGGCUGGUUGUUGUUUUUUUUCUGUAUGCUUUCAUGUUGUGCCUCUGGAAAUUUAGGAACAAGACAAAUUUGUCAAACUAUGUGUCAGUUCUUGGUGGCAAGACAGACAACUAAAAGACAAAGGAAAAAAUAACUCAAAAGUGCAAGACUUCUGGGGUUGUUGCUUCCUCCUAUUUACCUAUGCCUUCUUUAAAAAAUGCAGCACUGUAAUAUUCAGUAUGGGUGAAAGGGUUAAAACCCCACUCCCCACAUGCCACGGUCCUGAUCCACAUUGGGGGCCUUCAGACAUUUUCUGUUUGAAACACACACAAUACAAAUACUAAUGUACACUCAUUUAACAUAACACUGAAGCUGGCCGCUGCUUGUAUAUCCCUGGCUUGAGAAGGAAUCCCAUGUGCAAAUGGGUUGUUGCUUGAUUUCAAGUAGCCAGGCCUGCAAACACUGUCCUUUUUUAAAAAAGCAAUGUUUAUGCUUAGGAAGAGGAGGAGGCUGGAUAUCCCAUGUUAUGUACUGAAGUUCUCACCCUGGGCCAGCAGGGGGAUACUGUAGAUAGUUCAGGUCCACAUAUGCAAAUAAGGGAUCGAAAGUGACGUUCAGUGAUUGGAUAGUUACAGAAAAUGGUUACUGUUGAGUUCUAGUGGAGCUCUAUAUACCCGGUAAGCAGGCUGGCUGAACCCUUCAGUUCAGUUCUGUUCUGGCCUGUGAAUAAACAAGAGCUGUGUCCUCUGAUAUGUUCACCCACAACUUAACAUACCGGUCACUGCUACCACAUCUCAGGCCUGAAUUAUAGCAUGCAACAGACUACCACAGAGUCUAGAUGGAUCACAUAGCUCAGAAGCAGCAGUCCCUCCAAUAUUCCUCAGAUGAAGAUAGGGAAAUUUUUCACUCCUCCCAAAGGAUCAUCAUUGAGCCCGCCAUUUUUGCCCCCUCCCACAUUGCAGAGCAUUUCCUAUAAGAAGAAGGACGAGUGACUCCACUACUAAGUAAAAGGUGAAGGACCCCUGGACGGUUAAGUCCAGUCAAAGGUGACUCUGGAGUUGAGGUGCUCAUCUUGCUUUCAGGCCGAGGGAGCCAGCAUUUACCCACAGACAUCUUUCCGGGUCAUGUGGCCAGCAGGACUAAACCGUUUCUGGCACAACAGGACACCAUGACGGAAACCAGAGCGCACAGAAAUGCCAUUUCCCUUCCCGUCGCAGCGGUACCUAUUUAUUUACUUGCACUGGUGUGUUUUUGAACUGCUACGUUGGCAGGAGCUGGGACAGAGCAACGGGACCUCACCCCGACAAGCGAAUUCGAACCGCUGACCUUCCGAUUGGGAAGUCGAAGACAGCACACACCACCUCCACCAUUUUGAGAAAAUCCCUUAAUCCAGAUUCUAUUUUAUUCUUUGAUUAGAAAAAGCAAAACACACAGUAAUAAAUAAAUUUUAGAAAGCAGCAAGAUUAGAUGCAGAUGCAUAAAGCUUUUUUUAAAAAAAAAAUAACCUCGACCCUGCUCCCCCUUUCAAUUAAUCCAGAGAUAAAUAAACUCAGCCUCAUAAGACUGCAGGCAGAGCCAGAGAACUGCAGGUGGCAAAGACAUAUUUUUCCUCUUCUCACCCCGUAGAAGAGAAUGCUUCUUCUAACAUGACACCUGUUACAAGACCGCCUGUGUCAUUUAAGAACAGAAACAGAAUGCUUCUUGCUUCAGAGCUAUCGUUUCAUCCAUGUACAAAUUUAUGUGAGUUUAAUAGAUAAAUCAAUUAGCAGGCGAGACAGGUGAUCACAGUUCCUCAUGUGUGCUUCCUUGCAUUUCUUGCACAGCAAAAUAAAACCAGAGGUGGAAUGGGAGCACAAUUAACCCAGUAAGAAGUAAUUAUUAUUGAAAACCUAAGAGGCAUAUAAUUGUGUUCUACUAGCCUUAGAAGGCUUUACAAAAUGUAAGCUCUUGUUUACGAAGCCAGGUCUUGCUCUUCAGUCGCAAGAGACCAUGAAUUGCACUGCACUCCAUUUUGCAGAGGCUCUAAGGCCAUUUCCUGUCGUUUUGGAAAGAAAAGGAACAACCCUGUCAAUCUGCUCGUUUUGUUUGGAACACAGAAAUGUUGAGAGAAUUAAUUCCAAGCAAAAUAUUUCAAUCAAUAUUUAUCCAUGAUUAAAGAGAAGAUGGUACAAUACAGGCUGAACGUGACUGUCACAGCACUUCUGCCGCACAUGUCCCAAGCCUUCAGAACAGACAGAUAAACCACAAAUUGUGUCACCCUGGUGAGCAGCUGUCAGAGAACGCAACAGAUUGGAAAAAGGAAAAUCUAUUACAGAGAAAAUGAUGCAGCCACCAGACCCAGGGAGUCAUCCUCCAGUGAACCAGGACCUUGCAGAAGGUAUAUGAUGAUAUUCUUGGAACAUGUAAAGGCCACUGGGCCCAUCUUGCUGACACUUUCUAAAUAGGCUAUUUCUUUUAACUAUCUCCCUCUACAGAGAUGUUAGAACUUCUCACUUACCACUGGCUCUUCCCAUUAAAGCUCUAAUUAUGUAUGAGCCUGCAGGGCUAACAAAAUGGGAGCUCAGCAUGAUGUUUUUAUAGGUCCAGGUAGCACAACUACCAUCACAGCUUUGCCUAGGACUGGAGCACGCAGUCUUUCACUAGGAGAGGAAAUCUACAAACUUGGAGCCCAAGCUGGACCAGAAUUUAAUUUGCUGUGCUAUUACCGUAACUUGCAUGCAAAUGAAAUUAAGCAAAGCCGGUGCCAGUUUCUGAACCAGUGUCCCUGAAAAUAACUAUGGCAUAUUGUUUCAUUAUUUUUUAUUUGCAAAAUAGCAGGCUUUCUUGUUGUUUAGUCGCUUAGUUGUGUCCGACUCUUCGUGACCCCAUGGACCAGAGCACUUCAGGCACUCCUGUCUUCCACUGCCUCCCACAGUUUGGUCAAACUCAUGCUGGUAGCUUCGAGAACACUGUCCAACCAUCUCGUCCUCUGUCGUCCCCUUCUCCUUGUGCCCUCCAUCUUUCCCAACAUCAGGGUCUUUUCCAGGGAGUCUUCUCUUCUCCUGAGAUGGCCAAAGUAUUAGAGCCUCAGCUUCAGGAUCUGUCCUUCCAGUGAGCACUCAGGGCUGAUUUCCUUCAGAAUGGAUAGGUUUGAUCUUCUUGCAGUCCACGGGACUCUCAAGAGUCUCCUCCAGCACCAUAAUUCAAAAACAUCAAUCCGUUAUUGAACACUCAUGAUAGACAAAAUUAUCUUAAGCAAGAAUGUCAGCCUGCAACAGCAAGAAGACGUGGUCCCAGGUUCAUGACAGGGCUAGGAGAGACUGAAACCCUGUAGAUCUUCUGCCAAACAGUGUAAAUAAUACUGAGUUAGGUAAAGGUAAAGGUAAAGGGACCCCUGACCAUUAGGUCCAGUCGUGGACAACUCUAAGGUUGCGGCACUCAUCUCGCUUUACUGGCCGAGGGAGCCAGCGUACAGCUUCUGGGUCAUGUGGCCAGCAUGACUAAGCCACUUCUGGCGAACCGGAGCAGCGCACGGAAACACAGUUUACCUUCUCGCCAGAGUGGUACCUAUUUAUCUGCUUGCACUGCUAGAUUGGUAGGAGCAGGGACUGAGGAACAGGAGCUCACCCCGUCACGGGGAUUUGAAUCCCCGUCGCGGGGAUUUGAUCGGCAAGCCCUAGGCUCUGUGGUUUAACCCACAGCAUCACCCAGUAAUCUGGCUGUUCCUCCUAAGUCUCCUCGCUAUUUCCCUUUGUUGGAGGACAGGAAUGGGGAUGCAGUAGUAUCUUGCCCUUUGCAUCGUGCCACAAAGUGCCCCGAGUGCACCCUAAAAACCCUUGCUUUUAAGGUUUGACACCAAUGUAGAGAAACACGUUUCUCAAUCCUUCAGUUAAGAAACCCAGGAUCCUUUAAAAGCCUGGUUGCUUAAAAAUUCAGUGUUACCAUUCUUCCACAAGCUUAUGCAUUGUGAUAAGUGCUCUCCAAGUUUCUGCUCAUGACAGAUGAGGAAGACAUGGCAUUAUAUUGUUUUUAACCUUAGUUCAGAGUAAUUACUGUCAACAAACAACUCAGUUUUGUAUGUUUUAAAUAAUUAAAGGCAAGCACUCUUCUUUGAUCUCCCGGAAAAGCUCUUUCAUUCAGCAGUUUUGCUUAUUCCCAUCAUACCUACAACACGGUUUUUGUUAAAAAGGAACUUUCUCUGUAAACUGGUGUUCCCAUUAUGAAUACACCAUCAUCCAAACACUCACGUUAGAGGGUUCAGUGCCUCACCCAGGUUGAGAAAGAUUUCUGAUUUUGCACACACCAAUAAUAUGCAAAAAUUAUUUAAAAAACACAAACACGUCAUCACUUUGAGCAUUCCUUUCUAAGGAAUGCCUUUUCACAAUUGCAAAUCCCUGCUUCAAGGCUGCAUUCUGUUUUAUAAAAUGCUUGUUUUCUGUUGAUUCAUUAACCAUCUGCUUUGGAUGAUGCUGUGAAAGAUGCUUUUGACUUUGCAAUAUGCAAAUAUCACCAAAGAAAUAAAGAAAAGGCCCCAGUAUGUAGCCACAUCCUACUGGUUUUUCUUCUUCACUUUUUUUCACUUUUUGACUUUUUAUUAAAUAUAGUACAGUUGGACAAGAGCAACUAUUCAUUUUCCUCACUGCGAAGCCUGGCAUUUGGAUUGGUGACUUUGAUAGCAAGCUGAGCUGCUCUUUCCACAAUUAUCUUCCGAUUCUUGGAUGAAACCUUGUGAGCAAUCUCUGCACAAUAGGACUUGUUGCUCAGCAGCUGCACCUCCAGCUCUUUGACGUUGUGUCAAAGGAACUUUCUGAAUGCUGAAGGCAACAUGUGCUUUGUCUUCUUACUGCUAAGAAGCCCAAUACUGGGCAUCAAUAUUUGGCCCUUGAACCUUUUGAGAGCUUUGUUGUCAGUACAGCUGGGCUUCCACCAGUUACGCUUAAUUUUGACAUAGUGGUCAGAAGGAUGGCGGAUGAACUUCUUCGUCCUCUUCUCCCCCCCCCUUUUUUAAUAAUGAUUUUUUUUAAGUUUUCCAUAUUUCAUUUCAUUUUAUCAUACAUAUCAUACAUAUCUCGAGCUUACAUCACUACUCCAAAUGAGUAACGACUUCCUUCCGUCACUCUUUCUGACUUUCCUACUAUUUUAACAUAUUUAUCACAUUUCUAUAAUCACUUCUUUACCAUAUAUAAUCAUAUAACAAUCACCCUUUCAUUUGUAAAUUAGCUCCUUCUUUCCACAUUACAAAACAUUUCACGUUAAUGCUACAAAUGUUUUUAGGUGUUUACAACUUACUUUCAAAUAAUUUAUAAAUUUGCUCCAGUCCCUUUGAAAUCUUUCGUCGGGUCAAUUCCUAAUGUUCUCCAUCAACUUCGCCAGUUCCACAUACUCUAUCAUCUUUAUCUGCCAAUCAUCCAGGGUGGGGAGCUCUUGUUGUUUCCAUCUUUGGGCCAGGAGGAUUUUUGCUGCCGUUGUGGCGUACAUGAAUAGGUUUACAUCUUUUGGGUGGAUUUCCUCAUCAAUUAGUCCUAAUAAAAAUACUUCUGGUUUUUUACUAAAAUUUUAUUUCAAUACCUUUUUUAAUUCGUUGUAAAUAGUAUCCCAGAAGAUUUUAACUUUAGUACAAGUCCACCACAUAUAUAGGAAAUUCCCUUCUUUUUCCCUACAUUUCCAGCAUAAUUUAUCUUGGCUUCUAUACAUUAUGGCUAAUUUACUUGGUGUGAAUGCUGAAGGCAACAUGUGCUUUGUCUUCUUGCAGCUACCAUACCCAAUACUGGGCAUCAAUAUUUAGCCCUUGAAUCUUCUGAGAACUCUGUUGUCAAUGCAGCUGUUGCGCUGUAUUGCAAUACACCAGUUACGCUUAAUUUUGACAUAGUGGUCAGAAGGAUGGCGGAUGAACUUCUUCGUCCUCUUCUUGAUGAUCUUAGGCUUGAUGAGGGGUCUGAGGACCGGCAUAGUGUCUGCACCCGCACAGAGAGGGAGUGUAGAGAGGGAGAGAAAAGCACCACUUCCUACUAUACAGAGCUGUAUUUCGUUUAGCAUAGUGGUUCCCAAAGUAGGCACACACACACACACACACGGGGUGCUAAGAAGCAAGGGAGUGGCAUGGGGGGAGUGUCACUGGAAGUGAAAAUAACUAUCAGACUUUGAAAAGCUAAUAUCACUAGAUCAAGAUCAACAAAUUUGUUGAAUUAAUUACAAUAAAUAGUUUUAACUGGAUUUUUAAUAAAUGUGCAAUCCAUGGUUACUGUUUUGAAUUGUACUGUGUUAUUAUCUUCCUUAGUGGCUCAUGCAAACCACUGUUCUGAAUAAUGCAUUUGAUAGCAUGGGGGCACAGGGGUGUGGAAAGAUAUAUCCGUGUCAAUGUGCUAUUUCAUACACACAAAAUGUAUCUUAUCUAAAUGGUCAGUUUGUCACCAUAGUGUUCAGCAACUUAAAAUCUACAUAAGAGGAAGAGCCAGAUGUCAAGGGUUAUAAACUGAUAUUGUGCUACUUAGAACCCCGAGGCACAGAAAAUUGCCUUCUUUUUUUCCUCUCCCCCCCCCCCAGUAAUUUUAUUAGAAUUUGGAAAAAGGGAUCAAGAUUAUCAUCUACUAUCUUUUUAUAAAAACUCUAAGACAUUAAUCUAAAUAAAAACACAGACCAGAAAGAACAAUUUUUAAAAGGAAAGAAAGGAAAAGAGAGAGAGAGAGAGAAGGAUGGAGAAGGAUAGAGAAGGGAUAAAGGAGAGAAGAGGAGUGAAAGAGAGGAGAUAAUGAAAGAAAAAGGAAGUAGGAAAGAAAGAAGCAGAGAGAGAAAGAAAGAAAGAAAGAAAGAAAGAAAGAAAGAAAGAAAGAAAGAAAGAAAGAAAGAAAAUAGAUAACUUCUGAUUAUUCAUCUGUCCACUAUCAUCAUCAUCAUCCUUUUUAUUCGACCGUCAGUCAGAAAAAAGUACAUUGUGUCAAUACACAGUUAAAAACAUCCAGGAAGAUUUUAAAACUUAGCCAACACUAAAAUGGGCUAAACAGGUAGCCCCAUAUCAAUACAGUCAAUUAUAGUCUCGCGACGCUUAAAAGCUAAAAAGAGAAAUUUGGCCACCAAGGAAGGUAUAGCUCUAGUGGCAUUAUUCACCAAGUGUAAAACCUGGUUUUCUCCGGGUUGGAAGCUGAAUUGACAUAGGAGUGGGUCUAUAAAAUUUUGUCUAAGCUCUGCAUAAGAAGGGCAAGUCAAGAGAAUGUGUUCGGUGGACUCAACCACACCCAUGGCACAAUGACAGGUUCUCUGGGCGUAUGGUACAUCUGUCCACUAUAUAUAACAUUAUGACCAUAGGCACCAACUCCUAGGGGUGCAGGUGUAUUUGGCCCCCUCAAUAUUUGUUGGCAGGGGGCUGAGCCCCCCAACGUUGAGUGAAUGGAGGAGACCAAGCGUGGUGCAGCAUCUUUGGCCAGCUCCUCCUGAGCGUGCGAGAUGAGAAGCCCCUGGUCAUUGAAGGUGUGCGGUGUUGCACUCUGUGCUUGGCCUCCUCCCAACGAUGCGUGUGCUUUGCAUGCAUGACAUCACGGGUGCGUGACGCUGGGCCCCCUCAGUAUUGGGUGCCAGAUGAAGCCUCUGCCCAUGACUGAUGGUUUGAUUUCAAAAAUGUGCCCCUCGACUCUAAAAGGUUGGGUACCUCUGUACUAUUCAAGUGGGGCAGGGGCAUGAGAACCACCAUGUCAGCUAUAGUAGCAACUAUAGUUGUAGGUACCCUGCAAAACAAUUUGCAAUCCUCAUCCAAAACCUCUUCCACUUUUUGUUUUUAGCUUACAAAUACCGC